CGCCAGCGCCUGCUGCAGCGGCCCCGCGCGCCCGCUCAGCUCGUCGCGGAAGGCCGCGUGCUGGCUCAGCAGGCGCAGGGAGCUGGUCAGGUCCCUGCCCACGUCCUCGGAGGAGAGGAGCCGCUCCUGCUCCCGCAUCCAGGCCUCCUCCUCCCCCGUGUCCCAGAAGAACUUCCAGAAGCGCCGCGACUCCUCCAGCUUGGCCCGCCGCUGCCCCGCCAGCUCCACCAGCUCCCGGUACCGCAGCUCCAGCGUGGCCACGCGCUCCCGCACCACCUCCGGCUCGCAGGGCUUGUAGCCUGCGGGCAGCUCCGUCAGCUCCCUGCGCCUCUGCGGCUCCGGCUGCGGCCACCAGGCCGGGCUCGGGGGUCUCGGGGGGGGUGCCCUGGCCUCCCCCCGCCACCGCGGGCCGCACUCACCCUCUCCGGGCAGGGCGAAGCGCUGGGCCGCGGCGCUCACCGCCCGCACCCGCUCCGCCUGCGCCGCGAUGUCGGCCUCCACCAGCGCGUGGAUCUGCAGCAGGUCGUCCACCCCGUGCAGGUGCGCCAGGUCCUGCAGCAUCUUCUGCAGCUCGAGGUGCAGCAGCAGCCGCUCGCGGCGGGCGGCCACCAGCUGCCGCAGGAAGUCCCAGAGCCGCGCCACGUUGUCGCGGCGGGCCAGGACGCGGCGGACGUCGUGGUAGCGCUCGGCCUCCAGCUCGGCCGCCACCGCGCUCACCGCCUGCACCCGCUCGCUGUAGGCCACGAUGUCGGUCUCGAUGGCCUCGUGCUUGCGCACCGCCGCCUCCACGGCCGACAUGUCGCUCCCGAAGUUGUCCUGGGGGGCCACGUCUCCCGCAUGGCCGCCUUGCGGUCGAAGCGAGCCGCCAGCUGCUCCAGCUUCUCCUGCCGGAUCAGCUCGGUGCGCAGCGCCAGCUCCCGCUCGUGCUCCGCUUUCUCCAGCCGCUCCCAGGCCUGCGGGGACGGGCACCGGGACGGGGGUGGGGGUCGGCUCCCGGCACGGCCGCGGCGCCGCCCCCCCUCCUCGCCAAACCUUGUUGAUGUCGGAGAUGAGCUUCCCCUCGCGCGGCACGAACACCUUCUGGUUGUUGGCGCGCAUGCGGCUCUGGAUGGUGAAGAGCAGCACCUCCAGGUGUUGAAGGCCUGCAGCUGGUUCUGCACGCCGGGCAGCGCGUUGGCCAGCUGCCGGUCGUUGAGGGUGAGGAUGGUCCGCUCGAUCCAGCCCAGCAGCUCGCCCGCCAGCGUCUCGUACUUCUCCACCAGCUGCUCCGCCUCCAGCGCCGCGUCCAGCACCUGCGGGCGUCCAUCCCUCUGUCCGUCCGUCUGUCCGUCCGUCCGCCCGCCCAUCUGCUGCCUCUCCGCUCAUCCCGGCGGCCAUCUGGCCGAGCCGCCCCGCCUCGCCUUCCCCGUCCAGCUGUCCGUCUGCCCGCCUGUCGCCCGCCCCCCCUUCCUCGAGCUGCUCCUCUCGAGCGUCCUC
This 1476-nucleotide long non-coding RNA is filed under the name Anser cygnoides (Swan goose). Its description in RNAcentral is "lncRNA (ENSACDG00005016977.1)". Lineage: Eukaryota; Metazoa; Chordata; Aves; Anseriformes; Anatidae. The record is from RNAcentral.